RNAcentral lists this ribosomal RNA (465 nucleotides) under Vreelandella stevensii. Its description in RNAcentral is "partial 16S ribosomal RNA". It matches the Rfam family "Bacterial small subunit ribosomal RNA", at positions 338 to 795 of the family's 1533-position model. Lineage: Bacteria; Pseudomonadati; Pseudomonadota; Gammaproteobacteria; Oceanospirillales; Halomonadaceae. The record is from RNAcentral.
CCUACGGGGGGCUGCAGUGGGGAAUAUUGGACAAUGGGGGGAACCCUGAUCCAGCCAUGCCGCGUGUGUGAAGAAGGCCCUCGGGUUGUAAAGCACUUUCAGUGAGGAAGAACGCCUGGUGGUUAAUACCCAUCAGGAAAGACAUCACUCACAGAAGAAGCACCGGCUAACUCCGUGCCAGCAGCCGCGGUAAUACGGAGGGUGCGAGCGUUAAUCGGAAUUACUGGGCGUAAAGCGCGCGUAGGUGGCUUGAUAAGCCGGUUGUGAAAGCCCCGGGCUCAACCUGGGAACGGCAUCCGGAACUGUCAGGCUAGAGUGCAGGAGAGGAAGGUAGAAUUCCCGGUGUAGCGGUGAAAUGCGUAGAGAUCGGGAGGAAUACCAGUGGCGAAGGCGGCCUUCUGGACUGACACUGACACUGAGGUGCGAAAGCGUGGGUAGCAAACAGGAUUAGAUACCCGAGUAGUC